AUCGCUUCUCGGCCUUUUGGCUAAGAUCAAGUGUAGUAUCUGUUCUUAUCAGUUUAAUAUCUGAUACGUCCUCUAUCUGAGGACAAUAUAUUAAACGGGUUUUUGGAAUUGGGAGUCGGAAUAGGAGCUUGCUCCGUCCACUCCACGCAUCAACCCAGUAUUGCAGUAUCUCUGGGAAUGGUGCACCCCCU
RNAcentral lists this small nuclear RNA (191 nucleotides) under Peromyscus maniculatus bairdii (prairie deer mouse). RNAcentral describes it as "U2 spliceosomal RNA (ENSPEMG00000026962.1)". It matches the Rfam family "U2 spliceosomal RNA". From Rfam's summary of the family: U2 is a small nuclear RNA (snRNA) component of the spliceosome (involved in pre-mRNA splicing). Complementary binding between U2 snRNA (in an area lying towards the 5' end but 3' to hairpin I) and the branchpoint sequence (BPS) of the intron results the bulging out of an unpaired adenosine, on the BPS, which initiates a nucleophilic attack at the intronic 5' splice site, thus starting the first of two transesterification reactions that mediate splicing. Lineage: Eukaryota; Metazoa; Chordata; Mammalia; Rodentia; Cricetidae. The record is from RNAcentral.